This 253-nucleotide ribosomal RNA is filed under the name uncultured bacterium. Its description in RNAcentral is "partial 16S ribosomal RNA". It matches the Rfam family "Bacterial small subunit ribosomal RNA", at positions 524 to 776 of the family's 1533-position model. The record is from RNAcentral.
UACAGAGGGUGCAAGCGUUAAUCGGAGUUAUUGGGCGUAAAGAGCUCGUAGGCGGUUUGUCGCGUCUGCUGUGAAAAUCCAGGGCUUAACCCUGGACCUGCAGUGGGUACGGGCAGACUGGAGUGCGGUAGGGGAGAUCGGAAUUCCUGGUGUAGCGGUGAAAUGCGCAGAUAUCAGGAGGAACACCGGUGGCGAAGGCGGAUCUCUGGGCCGUAACUGACGCUGAGGAGCGAAAGCAUGGGGAGCGAACAGG